GCCCCCGUAGCUCAGCAGGAUAGAGCAUCGGUUUCCUAAACCGAAGGUCGUGAGUUCGAAUCUCGCCGGGGGUA
This 74-nucleotide transfer RNA is filed under the name Candidatus Omnitrophota bacterium. RNAcentral describes it as "tRNA-Arg". It matches the Rfam family "tRNA". Rfam says of the family: Transfer RNA (tRNA) molecules are approximately 80 nucleotides in length. Their secondary structure includes four short double-helical elements and three loops (D, anti-codon, and T loops). Lineage: Bacteria; Pseudomonadati; Candidatus Omnitrophota. The record is from RNAcentral.